Molecule: unclassified non-coding RNA, 397 nt
Filed under: soil metagenome
Description: partial contains 5.8S ribosomal RNA, internal transcribed spacer 2, and large subunit ribosomal RNA
Rfam family: 5.8S ribosomal RNA (bases 1-122)
Source: RNAcentral
GAUGAAGAACGUAGCGAAAUGCGAUACUUGGUGUGAAUUGCAGAAUCCCGUGAACCAUCGAGUCUUUGAACGCAAGUUGCGCCCGAAGCCAUUAGGCCGAGGGCACGCCUGCCUGGGUGUCACACAUCGUUACCCUCGCGCCAACGUCCAUCGUUGGCCGCGGCGCGGGGCGUGCGCUGACCUCCCGCGAGCGGGGCCUCGUGGUUGGUUGAAAAUCGAGUUCGCGGUCGGGGGUGCCGUGGUAAAAUGGUGGAUGGGCGACGCCCGAGGCCAAUCACGCGCGACUCUGUCCGGCUUGGACUCCUGGACCCCUUCGGCGUCUCCGGACGCUCUUCGGCGAGACCUCAGGUCAGGCGGGGCUACCCGCUGAGUUUAAGCAUAUCAAUAAGCGGAGGGA